AUUGAACGCUGGCGGAAUGCUUUACACAUGCAAGUCGAACGGCAGCACGGGGGCAACCCUGGUGGCGAGUGGCGAACGGGUGAGUAAUACAUCGGAACGUGCCCAGUCGUGGGGGAUAACUACGCGAAAGCGUAGCUAAUACCGCAUACGAUCUACGGAUGAAAGCGGGGGAUCGCAAGACCUCGCGCAAUUGGAGCGGCCGAUGGCAGAUUAGGUAGUUGGUGGGGUAAAGGCUCACCAAGCCUUCGAUCUGUAGCUGGUCUGAGAGGACGACCAGCCACACUGGGACUGAGACACGGCCCAGACUCCUACGGGAGGCAGCAGUGGGGAAUUUUGGACAAUGGGCGCAAGCCUGAUCCAGCCAUUCCGCGUGCAGGAUGAAGGCCCUCGGGUUGUAAACUGCUUUUGUACGGAACGAAACGCGCUGAGCUAAUACCUCGGCGUAAUGACGGUACCGUAAGAAUAAGCACCGGCUAACUACGUGCCAGCAGCCGAC
This 496-nucleotide ribosomal RNA is filed under the name uncultured bacterium. Its description in RNAcentral is "bacterial SSU rRNA". It matches the Rfam family "Bacterial small subunit ribosomal RNA", at positions 30 to 518 of the family's 1533-position model. The record is from RNAcentral.